RNAcentral lists this non-coding RNA (61 nucleotides) under Bacillus methanolicus MGA3. The record is from RNAcentral. Lineage: Bacteria; Bacillati; Bacillota; Bacilli; Caryophanales; Bacillaceae.
GUAACAAUCUCAAAAAAAGUGCCUUCUCAAGAUUUCCAUUAUGAGCAAAAAAAAUCCUUCU